RNAcentral lists this ribosomal RNA (238 nucleotides) under uncultured bacterium. RNAcentral's name for it is "partial 16S ribosomal RNA". It matches the Rfam family "Bacterial small subunit ribosomal RNA", at positions 524 to 761 of the family's 1533-position model. The record is from RNAcentral.
UACAGAGGGUGCGAGCGUUAAUCGGAAUUACUGGGCGUAAAGCGCACGUAGGCGGCUUGGUAUGUCGGGUGUGAAAUCCCCGGGCUCAACCUGGGAACUGCAUCCGAAACUGCCUUGCUCGAGUAUGGGAGAGGGAAGUGGAAUUUCCGGUGUAGCGGUGAAAUGCGUAGAUAUCGGAAGGAACAUCAGUGGCGAAGGCGACUUCCUGGACCAAUACUGACGCUCAGGUGCGAAAGCG